AACGAACGCUGGCGGCAUGCCUAACACAUGCAAGUCGAACGAGACCUUCGGGUCUAGUGGCGCACGGGUGCGUAACGCGUGGGAACCUGCCCUUAGGUUCGGAAUAACUCCCCGAAAGGGGUGCUAAUACCGGAUAAUGUCUUCGGACCAAAGAUUUAUCGCCUUUGGAUGGGCCCGCGUUGGAUUAGCUGGUUGGUAGGGUAAAAGCCUACCAAGGCGACGAUCCAUAGCUGGUCUGAGAGGAUGAUCAGCCACACUGGGACUGAGACACGGCCCAGACUCCUACGGGAGGCAGCAGUGGGGAAUAUUGGACAAUGGGCGAAAGCCUGAUCCAGCAAUGCCGCGUAAGUGAUGAAGGCCUUAGGGUUGUAAAGCUCUUUUACCCGGGAUGAUAAUGACAGUACCGGGAGAAUAAGCUCCGGCUAACUCCGUG
This 433-nucleotide ribosomal RNA is filed under the name uncultured bacterium. RNAcentral describes it as "partial 16S ribosomal RNA". It matches the Rfam family "Bacterial small subunit ribosomal RNA", at positions 29 to 507 of the family's 1533-position model. The record is from RNAcentral.